This 144-nucleotide ribosomal RNA is filed under the name Haptophyta sp. RNAcentral's name for it is "partial small subunit ribosomal RNA". It matches the Rfam family "Eukaryotic small subunit ribosomal RNA", at positions 1296 to 1461 of the family's 1831-position model. Lineage: Eukaryota; Haptophyta. The record is from RNAcentral.
AGUUGGUGGAGUGAUUUGUCUGGUUAAUUCCGUUAACGAACGAGACCGCAGCCUGCUAAAUAGUUACCCGAACCCUUUGUUCGGGCCGACUUCUUAGAGGGACAACUUGUCUUCAACAAGUGGAAGUUUGCGGCAAUAACAGGU